UUGGAAAGACCCACCACAGAAGGUAAUAGUCCUGUAUGUUAAACGAGAAGACUUUAGAUAUGAUCCAGAGUACCACGGGACACGUGAAACCCUGUGGGAAGCAGGAGGGACCACCCUCCAAGGCUAAAUACUACCUAGUGACCGAUAGCGUAUAGUACCGUGAGGGAAAGGUGAAAAGAACCCCGGGAGGGGAGUGAAAUAGAACCUGAAACCCUGCACUUACAAGCUGUGGAAGCACAUUUCUUGUGUGACCGCGUACUUUUUGUAGAACGGGCCAACGAGUUACGUUAAGUAGCAAGGUUAAGCACUUAAGGUGCGGAGCCGUAGCGAAAGCGAGUUUUAACUGAGCGUUCAGUUACUUGACGUAGACCCGAAACCGGGCGACCUACCCAUGAGCAGGAUGAAGCGAAAGUAAAAUUUCGUGGAGGUCCGAACCCACGAGCGUUGAAAAGCUCGGGGAUGACUUGUGGGUAGCGGUGAAAUUCCAAUCGAGCCCGGAGAUAGCUGGUUCUCCCCGAAAUAGCUUUAGGGCUAGCCUCAAGGUGAGAGAUACGGAGGUAGAGCACUGAAUGUCCUAGGGGGUAUUGCACCUACCGAAGACUAUCAAACUCCGAAUGCCGUCAUCUUAUACUUGGGAGUCAGACUGUGGGUGAUAAGAUUCAUAGUCGAAAGGGCAACAGCCCAGAUCGUCAGCUAAGGUCCCUAAAUGUAAGUUAAGUGGUAAAGGAUGUGGGAUUGCACAGACAACCAGGAUGUUGGCUUAGAAGCAGCCACUCAUUCAAAGAGUGCGUAAUAGCUCACUGGUCGAGUGAUCCUGCGCCGAAGAUUUCCGGGGCUAAAACUUACUACCGAAGCUACGGCAUCAGUAAUGAUGGGUAGGGGAGCUUCCCAUACGGGUUGAAGCAUGACCGUAAGGACAUGUGGACAGUAUGGGAGUGAGAAUGUUGGCAUGAGUAGCGAGAUGUGGGUGAGAAUCCCACAGGCCGUAAACCCAAGGUUUCCAGGGGAAGGUUCGUCCGCCCUGGGUUAGUCGGGACCUAAGCUGAGGCCGAAAGGCGUAGGUGAUGGACAACAGGUUGAUAUUCCUGUACUACCGAUAACCGUUUGAGAGAAGGGAUGACACAGUAGGAUAAGCUAAGCACACUGUUGGUUAUGUGUGCCCAAGCAUUGAGGCAGUCAAAGUAGGCAAAUCCGCUUUGAUAAUGCUGGGAUGUGAUGGGGAGCGAAAUUUAGUAGCGAAGUAGCUGAUUUCACACUGUCAAGAAAAGUCUCUAUCGAGGUUAAAGGUACCCGUACCGCAAACCGACACAGGUGGGUGAGGAGAGUAUCCUAAGGCCAGCGAGAGAACUGUUGUUAAGGAACUCGGCAAAAUGACCCCGUAACUUAGGGAUAAGGGGUGCCACCAUCAGGUGGCCGCAGAGAAUAGGCCCAAGCGACUGUUUACCAAAAACAUAGGUUUCUGCUAAGUCGCAAGACGAUGUAUAGGAGCUGACGCCUGCCCGGUGCUGGAAGGUUAAGGGGAUCUGUUAGAGCAAUCGAAGCAGUGAACUUAAGCCCCAGUAAACGGCGGCCGUAACUAUAACGGUCCUAAGGUAGCGAAAUUCCUUGUCGGGUAAGUUCCGACCCGCACGAAAGGCGUAACGAUUUGGGCACUGUCUCAACAACAGACUCGGUGAAAUUGUAAUUCCGGUGAAGAUGCCGGAUACCUGCGACAGGACGGAAAGACCCCAUGGAGCUUUACUGUAGCUUGACAUUGGGUCUUGGUACUACAUGUACAGGAUAGGUGGGAGGCUUUGAAACCAGGACGCCAGUUUUGGCGGAGCCAUCCUUGGGAUACCACCCUUGUAGUACUGGGACUCUAACCAUAGGCCAUGAAUCUGGUCUUGGGACACUGUCAGG
RNAcentral lists this ribosomal RNA (1899 nucleotides) under Clostridioides difficile. RNAcentral describes it as "partial 23S ribosomal RNA". It matches the Rfam family "Bacterial large subunit ribosomal RNA", at positions 342 to 2261 of the family's 2925-position model. The record is from RNAcentral. Lineage: Bacteria; Bacillati; Bacillota; Clostridia; Peptostreptococcales; Peptostreptococcaceae.